Molecule: ribosomal RNA, 409 nt
Filed under: Mithrax tortugae
Lineage: Eukaryota; Metazoa; Arthropoda; Malacostraca; Decapoda; Mithracidae
Description: partial 12S ribosomal RNA
Source: RNAcentral
UGAAACCAGGAUUAGAUACCCUACUAUACUAAGAUAACAGAAGAAACUAGAAUAUUAAAAGAUAUAAUCUUUAAAUUCGAAGAAUUUGGCGGUAAUUUAGUCUUUCCAGAGGAACCUGUUUAUUAAAUCGAUAAACCACGAAUGAUCUUACUUGUCUUUAUAAAUUUAAUAAGUUUGUAUACCGUCAUUAUCAGGUGAUAUUUAGAGAUAAUAUUAUUGGGUCUUAAAUAUUAAAAAAAAUUAGAUCAAGGUGCAGCUAAUAGAUAAGUUAAAAUGGGUUACAAUUAAUUGAAUAUAAUUUACGGAUAAAAGAUUUGAAAUAAUCUUAGGAAGGAGGAUUUGGUUGUAAUUAAAAUUAAUAUGAUAAAAAGAUAUAAGCUCUAAAUUAUGUACAUAUCGCCCGUCGCUA